Molecule: ribosomal RNA, 482 nt
Filed under: uncultured bacterium
Lineage: Bacteria
Description: partial 16S ribosomal RNA
Rfam family: Bacterial small subunit ribosomal RNA
Source: RNAcentral
AUUGAACGCUGGCGGCAUGCCUUACACAUGCAAGUCGAACGGUAACAGGUCUUCGGAUGCUGACGAGUGGCGCACGGGUGAGUAAUACAUCGGAACGUGCCCGAUCGUGGGGGAUAACGAGGCGAAAGCUUUGCUAAUACCGCAUACGAUCUACGGAUGAAAGCGGGGGAUCUUCGGACCUCGCGCGGGCGGAGCGGCCGAUGGCAGAGUAGGUAGUUGGUGGGAUAAAAGCUUACCAAGCCGACGAUCUGUAGCUGGGCUGAGAGGAUGAUCAGCCACACUGGGACUGAGACACGGCCCAGACUCCUACGGGAGGCAGCAGUGGGGAAUGUUGGACAAUGGGCGAAAGCCUGAUCCAGCCAUGCCGCGUGCAGGAUGAAGGCCUUCGGGUUGUAAACUGCUUUUGUACGGAACGAAAAGCCUCUUUCUAAUAAAGAGGGGUCAUGACGGUACCGGAAGAAUAAGCACCGGCUAACUACGUG